CACUGGGAUAUCUCACUUGGUAGAGCAUGAAACUCUUAAUCUCGGAGUUUUGGGUUCGAGUCCCACAUUGGGUGA
This is a non-coding RNA of Podarcis lilfordi (Lilford's wall lizard), 75 nucleotides long. Lineage: Eukaryota; Metazoa; Chordata; Lepidosauria; Squamata; Lacertidae. The record is from the annotation of a GenBank genome assembly.